UUGACCUCGGAUCAGGUAGGGACA
This 24-nucleotide ribosomal RNA is filed under the name Sawadaea bicornis. RNAcentral describes it as "partial 28S ribosomal RNA". The record is from RNAcentral. Lineage: Eukaryota; Fungi; Ascomycota; Leotiomycetes; Helotiales; Erysiphaceae.